CUGUAAAGAAACUUGUCGCUCUA
RNAcentral lists this non-coding RNA (23 nucleotides) under Arabidopsis thaliana (thale cress). The record is from RNAcentral. Lineage: Eukaryota; Viridiplantae; Streptophyta; Magnoliopsida; Brassicales; Brassicaceae.